This 465-nucleotide ribosomal RNA is filed under the name Vreelandella stevensii. Its description in RNAcentral is "partial 16S ribosomal RNA". It matches the Rfam family "Bacterial small subunit ribosomal RNA", at positions 338 to 795 of the family's 1533-position model. The record is from RNAcentral. Lineage: Bacteria; Pseudomonadati; Pseudomonadota; Gammaproteobacteria; Oceanospirillales; Halomonadaceae.
CCUACGGGUGGCAGCAGUGGGGAAUAUUGGACAAUGGGGGGAACCCUGAUCCAGCCAUGCCGCGUGUGUGAAGAAGGCCCUCGGGUUGUAAAGCACUUUCAGUGAGGAAGAACGCCUGGUGGUUAAUACCCAUCAGGAAAGACAUCACUCACAGAAGAAGCACUGGCUAACUCCGUGCCAGCAGCCGCGGUAAUACGGAGGGUGCGAGCGUUAAUCGGAAUUACUGGGCGUAAAGCGCGCGUAGGUGGCUUGAUAAGCCGGUUGUGAAAGCCCCGGGCUCAACCUGGGAACGGCAUCCGGAACUGUCAUGCUAGAGUGCAGGAGAGGAAGGUAGAAUUCCCGGUGUAGCGGUGAAAUGCGUAGAGAUCGGGAGGAAUACCAGUGGCGAAGGCGGCCUUCUGGACUGACACUGACACUGAGGUGCGAAAGCGUGGGUAGCAAACAGGAUUAGAUACCCCAGUAGUC